GACGAACGCUGGCGGCGUGCCUAAUACAUGCAAGUAGAACGCUGAAGGAGGAGCUUGCUUCUCUGGAUGAGUUGCGAACGGGUGAGUAACGCGUAGGUAACCUGCCUGGUAGCGGGGGAUAACUAUUGGAAACGAUAGCUAAUACCGCAUAAGAGUAGAUGUCGCAUGACAUUUGCUUAAAAGGUGCAAUUGCAUCACUACCAGAUGGACCUGCGUUGUAUUAGCUAGUUGGUGAGGUAACGGCUCACCAAGGCAACGAUACAUAGCCGACCUGAGAGGGGGAUCGGCCACACUGGGACUGAGACACGGCCCAGACUCCUACGGGAGGCAGCAGUAGGGAAUCUUCGGCAAUGGACGGAAGUCUGACCGAGCAACGCCGCGUGAGUGAAGAAGGUUUUCGGAUCGGGAAGCUCUGUUGUAAGAGAAGAACGAGUGUGAGAGUGGAAAGUUCACACUGUGACGGUAUCUUACCAGAAAGGGACGGCUAACUACGUG
Molecule: ribosomal RNA, 495 nt
Filed under: uncultured bacterium
Lineage: Bacteria
Description: partial 16S ribosomal RNA
Rfam family: Bacterial small subunit ribosomal RNA
Source: RNAcentral